CAGUGUGUAGCGCAGCCUGGUAGCGCACGUGACUUGGGCUCACGGGGUCGCAGGUUCGAGCUCUGCCACACUGACCA
RNAcentral lists this transfer RNA (77 nucleotides) under Shinella kummerowiae. RNAcentral's name for it is "tRNA-Pro". It matches the Rfam family "tRNA". From Rfam's summary of the family: Transfer RNA (tRNA) molecules are approximately 80 nucleotides in length. Lineage: Bacteria; Pseudomonadati; Pseudomonadota; Alphaproteobacteria; Hyphomicrobiales; Rhizobiaceae. The record is from RNAcentral.